This 1024-nucleotide long non-coding RNA is filed under the name Numida meleagris (helmeted guineafowl). Its description in RNAcentral is "lncRNA (ENSNMEG00000001024.1)". The record is from RNAcentral. Lineage: Eukaryota; Metazoa; Chordata; Aves; Galliformes; Numididae.
GGGAUCCCCGUUCUAUGGGGCAGAAGGAGCCCCGCCCUAUGGGGCACAUGGGACCCUCACUCUAUGGGGCAGAUGGACCCCAGCCCUGCAUGGAAGAUGGGAUCCCUGCCCUAUGGGACAGAAGGAGCCCUGCUCUAUGGGGCACAUGGGAUCCCCACUCUCUGGGGCACAUGGGACCCCCACUCUAUGGGGCAGAGGACCCCUGCCCUACGGGGCACAAGGGGCCCCCACUCUAUGGGGCAGAAGGAGCCCUGCUCUAUGGGGCACAUGGGAUCCCCACUCUAUGGGGCGGACAGGACCCCUGCCCUAUGGGGCGCAUGGGAUCCCCACUCUAUGGGGCAGAUGGACCCCAGCCCUGCAGGGAAGACGGGAUUCCUACUCCAUGGGGCAGAAGGAGCCCUGCCCUAUGGGGCACAUGGGAUCCCCACCCUAUGGGGCACAUGGGACCCCCACUCUAUGGGGCAGAGGACCCCAGCCCUAUGGGGCACAAGGGACUCCCAACCUAUGGGGCAGAAGGAGCCCUGCUCUAUGGGGCACAUGUGAUCCCCACUCUAUGGGGCAGAUGGACCCCAGCCCUGCAUGGAAGAUGGGAUCCCUGCCCUAUGGGGCAGGAGGAGUCCUGCCCUAUGGGGCACAUGGGAUCCCCACUCUACGGGGCGGACAGGACCCCUGCCCUAUGGGGCACAUGGGAUCCCUACUCUCUGGGGCACAUGGGACCCCCACUCUAUGGGGCAGAUGGACCCCAGCCCUGCAGGGAAGACGGGAUUCCUACUCCAUGGGGCAGCAGGAGCCCUGCUCUAUGGGGCGCAUGGGAUCCCCACUCUAUGGGGCAGAAGGAGCCCUGCCCUAUGGGGCGCAUGGGAUCCCCGCCCUGUGGGGCAGCCGGGCCCCCCGCUCACCAGCCGCUCCGACAUGGGGGUCUUGUCAUCGUCGGGGAGGUGCUGCUCCAGCGCCAGCACGAUGCAGUUGGCGAUGAUGGUGGCUAAGAUCAUGUACUCGAAGGGAGUGCGGCCCCGAGUGAAGG